RNAcentral lists this small nuclear RNA (106 nucleotides) under Dracunculus medinensis (Guinea worm). Lineage: Eukaryota; Metazoa; Nematoda; Chromadorea; Rhabditida; Dracunculidae. The record is from RNAcentral.
GAUAACAUUCCGAUGAACAUAUAGUAAAACUGGAACAAUACAGAGAAGAUUAGCAUGGCCCCUGCGCAAGGAUAACACGCAAACUCGUGAAGGUUCCAAGAAAUUA